Molecule: transfer RNA, 76 nt
Filed under: Candidatus Nanogingivalaceae bacterium
Lineage: Bacteria; Candidatus Saccharimonadota; Candidatus Nanosyncoccalia; Candidatus Nanogingivales; Candidatus Nanogingivalaceae
Also listed under: 1 other name
Description: tRNA-Thr
Rfam family: tRNA
About the family: Transfer RNA (tRNA) molecules are approximately 80 nucleotides in length. Their secondary structure includes four short double-helical elements and three loops (D, anti-codon, and T loops).
Source: RNAcentral
GCCGCGAUAGCUCAGUUGGUAGAGCGCAUUCAUGGUAAGGAUGAGGUCUCGGGUUCAAGCCCCGAUCGUGGCUCCA